RNAcentral lists this ribosomal RNA (468 nucleotides) under uncultured bacterium. RNAcentral's name for it is "partial 16S ribosomal RNA". It matches the Rfam family "Bacterial small subunit ribosomal RNA", at positions 28 to 507 of the family's 1533-position model. The record is from RNAcentral.
GACGAACGCUGGCGGCGUGCUUAACACAUGCAAGUCGAACGGAAAGGCCCUGCGUUUGUGGGGUGCUCGAGUGGCGAACGGGUGAGUAACACGUGAGUAACCUGCCCUUGACUUUGGGAUAACUUCAGGAAACUGGGGCUAAUACCGGAUAGGAGCUCCUGCUGCAUGGUGGGGGUUGGAAAGUUUCGGCGGUUGGGGAUGGACUCGCGGCUUAUCAGCUUGUUGGUGGGGUAGUGGCUUACCAAGGCUUUGACGGGUAGCCGGCCUGAGAGGGUGACCGGCCACAUUGGGACUGAGAUACGGCCCAGACUCCUACGGGAGGCAGCAGUGGGGAAUAUUGCACAAUGGGCGGAAGCCUGAUGCAGCAACGCCGCGUGCGGGAUGACGGCCUUCGGGUUAUAAACCGCUUUCGCCUGUGACGAAGCGUGAGUGACGGUAAUGAGUAAAGAAGCACCGGCUAACUACGUG